AACCGGCCUCGUUCAGAGUCAUUGGCAAGAAGCGGCGACCGGCGCACACGCGCGAGCAGGAGGCCCCCGCGUGGACGCCGGUAUAAAGCGGAAACGCCAGGUUGAGACGAAGGCUGACGUCAAACGGAUUUGAGAGUGAGGAGCGAGAGGGGAGACCCAGUGUGCAGGUGACUGCGUUUGAGCAGGAGCAUUUCCAGGGCAGGUGGUUGGAGUUCACGCUCAGAGUGCUGCAGCAUCCACGACUGCAGCCUGGACAACAUCCGCUCCAAUCCGAGCGGAGAGUGGAGCGUGAGUCACACAGCCUCUGGGUUGGGUUACGAGCGCCAUGGCUUCCAGGGCCAGCAGUUCAUCCUGGAGAAAAAGCGCUGACCCUUACUGGGACACCUGCAGCGGCUCCCUGUCCUACCACACGGAGCGCUUCAUGUCCUUUUCGCCCCGUCUACUGCGCUUCUCACCACAGCAGCCGUAUGAUGAUCGAUGAGAGGGGGAACUUAAUGGGCCGCAGUACCGAGCUGUGCGACGACUACCCCUGAUUGCAGGCCAUGUUUCAUGUGCUAUGAGUGCCCGGACUACAGAGGCCAGCAGCACAACAUGGAGUGUGCCAAACACCAGCUCUGGAGGAACUGGGGCUCCCACUGGCAGACUGGGCUCAGGCUAACACCUGGGCACUGUGCUUUGAGGGCCUGGAGAUACUGCAAGUCCAAAGCCAACUUUAGGUUUGGUUCUGAGCUUAGAGCUUCAUUAAGGCAGCACUGUGAUUACAACACAAACCAUCAGUGACGUAGCAGCCUAUCCAUAUUCCUCUUAAUACUCAUUUUGUUUUAGUACAAGUGAAAUGGGGUUCAGACUCAGAACGUGAGAAGUCCUUUCUGUAAUUCCAGUGUGAUUGCACAUAUUCAGAGACGAUGACAAUUAACACAUCACCAGCACAAUGACAUCAUGUUUUAAAUGCAAAACACUUGGACUAAAAAAUGAUGCAGUUUAUUAUUCAACAGCAUUUUGUUUGGUUAGAACUAUGACUUAAUAUAUUUGUAAAAACCUUGUAUUUUAAGUUAAUGCAUCAGUAAUUUGACACUAGAAAGUGAUGCUUGUUAUAUUCCUCUAUUUCUGAUGUUCUUUUACAGCUUAAAUAGGACUUUUAGACUGAAACUUGUUUUAAAGGGUCAUUAUAGUAUUUCUACUCUUGCAUAAGAAAGUGUUCAUUGAUAUAGUCUAAAGUUAUAAAUGUGUAGGUAUGUAAAUGUAUUGUCACAAUCACUGUAAUGAAGAAUCACAUAAAAUUACAUUGGAGUCUUGC
Long non-coding RNA from Xiphias gladius (swordfish), 1297 nucleotides. RefSeq lists it as uncharacterized. NCBI's taxonomy places the organism in Eukaryota, Metazoa, Chordata, Actinopteri, Istiophoriformes, Xiphiidae. The record is from RefSeq and is a predicted model, not a curated record. The transcript is spliced from 6 exons.